AGCCCUGCAUGGAGCUCUGCGCUGCCAGCGUGGAGCCUGCUUGGGACACUCUGUCUCCCUUGCUCUCUGCCCCUUGCUCUCUCUCUCUCUCUCUCUCUCUCAAAAAUAAACAUUAAAAGAAAGAAAAAAAACUAGCAGAGGCUGAAAGUAGUGAAGCACCUCCCUUUCCAAACUGCGUGACAAGAACAGGUGGUGAAAGCCAAGUGGUCAGUUUGUCUCUGCCUUUAAGCCUUAGCUUCCUGCCUAUCCUGUCUUCAUGGUUUGCUCUGAGGCACCAGUAAGCAUGUUAACCUCAUUCAGUCUGCUAUGUGAUAGAGCAGUGGCAAGGAGAGUUUUAAGAUUGCAAAGUGGCCGAAAUGUGAGAAAAUAUAACAAACUGAAAGUAGGAGGGGUGUGUGGAAUCUACAUAUGCAAAUGGAAUGAAUCUUAAAAUAGCGAAGAGGGGUACCUGUGUGGCUCAGUCCGUUAAGCGUCUGACUUUGGCUCAGGUCUGACUUCAGCUCAGAUCAUGAUCUCACAGUUCAUGGGUUCGAGCCUUGCAUCCGACUGCUGUCAGCACAGAGCCUGCUUCAGAUCCUCUGUCCCCUUCUCUCUCUACCCCUUCCCCACUUGUUCUCUCUCUCUCAUUCAAAAAAUAAAUAAACCUUUCAAAAAAAAUAGAAGAAUUAUGGAGAAGAGAGAUUUAUCAUAGAACACAAGCUUAUCAGUGUCCCAUGCCAAGCAAUCAACAGUGAUCACAUGUUUUCUACUUACAAAUAAAUAGACUUAAGAAGGAUCCUUUAGAACAUAAUCUAAUCAUAGAACAGGACCUUUUGUUCUCAUUCUAGAAUGGUGUUUUUUCAAAAUAUAGGUCACACUCACAAGUGUGUCAUAAAAUCAAUUAGUGGGUCAUGCAUAGCAACUUUUCUCUCUGAUAAAGUAGAAGAUAUCAGAUUAUAUCACACAAAGACUUUUUUAGUGGGAAUGAAGAUAGAAGAAAAAGAGUUUAAUGAAAAGACAAACAUGGAUACAAAUUUAUGAUCACACUCACCUU
Long non-coding RNA from Panthera uncia (snow leopard), 1033 nucleotides. RefSeq lists it as uncharacterized. The record is from RefSeq and is a predicted model, not a curated record. NCBI's taxonomy places the organism in Eukaryota, Metazoa, Chordata, Mammalia, Carnivora, Felidae. The transcript has 2 exons.